Molecule: transfer RNA, 72 nt
Filed under: Camelus bactrianus (Bactrian camel)
Lineage: Eukaryota; Metazoa; Chordata; Mammalia; Artiodactyla; Camelidae
Also listed under: 2 other names
Rfam family: tRNA
About the family: Transfer RNA (tRNA) molecules are approximately 80 nucleotides in length. Their secondary structure includes four short double-helical elements and three loops (D, anti-codon, and T loops). Further hydrogen bonds mediate the characteristic L-shaped molecular structure. tRNAs have two regions of fundamental functional importance: the anti-codon, which is responsible for specific mRNA codon recognition, and the 3' end, to which the tRNAs corresponding amino acid is attached (by aminoacyl-tRNA synthetases). tRNAs cope with the degeneracy of the genetic code in two manners: having more than one tRNA (with a specific anti-codon) for a particular amino acid; and 'wobble' base-pairing, i.e. permitting non-standard base-pairing at the 3rd anti-codon position.
Source: Rfam by way of RNAcentral
UGGGGAAUAGCUCAGUGGUAGAGCGCAUGCUUAGCAUGCACGAGGUCCUAGGUUCAAUCCCCAGUACCUCCU